AGAGUUUGAUCCUGGCUCAGGAUGAACGCUGGCGGCGUGCCUAAUACAUGCAAGUCGAGCGAACGGACGAGAAGCUUGCUUCUCUGAUGUUAGCGGCGGACGGGUGAGUAACACGUGGAUAACCUACCUAUAAGACUGGGAUAACUUCGGGAAACCGGAGCUAAUACCGGAUAAUAUUUUGAACCGCAUGGUUCAAAAGUGAAAGACGGUCUUGCUGUCACUUAUAGAUGGAUCCGCGCUGCAUUAGCUAGUUGGUAAGGUAACGGCUUACCAAGGCAACGAUGCAUAGCCGACCUGAGAGGGUGAUCGGCCACACUGGAACUGAGACACGGUCCAGACUCCUACGGGAGGCAGCAGUAGGGAAUCUUCCGCAAUGGGCGAAAGCCUGACGGAGCAACGCCGCGUGAGUGAUGAAGGUCUUCGGAUCGUAAAACUCUGUUAUUAGGGAAGAACAUAUGUGUAAGUAACUGUGCACAUCUUGACGGUACCUAAUCAGAAAGCCACGGCUAACUACGUGCCAGCAGCCGCGGUAAUACGUAGGUGGCAAGCGUUAUCCGGAAUUAUUGGGCGUAAAGCGCGCGUAGGCGGUUUUUUAAGUCUGAUGUGAAAGCCCACGGCUCAACCGUGGAGGGUCAUUGGAAACUGGAAAACUUGAGUGCAGAAGAGGAAAGUGGAAUUCCAUGUGUAGCGGUGAAAUGCGCAGAGAUAUGGAGGAACACCAGUGGCGAAGGCGACUUUCUGGUCUGUAACUGACGCUGAUGUGCGAAAGCGUGGGGAUCAAACAGGAUUAGAUACCCUGGUAGUCCACGCCGUAAACGAUGAGUGCU
Molecule: ribosomal RNA, 827 nt
Filed under: Staphylococcus aureus H48052
Lineage: Bacteria; Bacillati; Bacillota; Bacilli; Caryophanales; Staphylococcaceae
Description: bacterial SSU rRNA
Rfam family: Bacterial small subunit ribosomal RNA
Source: RNAcentral